GCCGCGACUACAGGCGCAUGCCACCACACCCAGGGUCCCAUCCAGAUACCACAUGACACCCGGUUGUCCUGUCUUCGGAGGCUCCUCCUGGCUGGGACAGCUUCUCAGACUUUCCUUGCUGCGAUGGCUGCUCAAGCUUUGAGGAGUACAGUCAGUGUUCUAUAGAACGUCUCUCUCGCUACUGAAAUUCGUCUAAUGUUUUUCUCAUGAUUAGACUGGGGUUGGGCAUGUUUAGAAAGAAGACCACAGAAGUAAAGUGCCUCCCUCAUCACACCGUGUCAAGGGUACACACCACCACGUGACUUCUCCCUGUCGCUGCUGACCUGGCCACCUGGCUGAGGCAGGAUUGCUCAGCUUCCUCCAUUCUCAGCUUUACACUUGUGAUCUCCUUUCCACGCUGCACUCGCUGGAAGGGAGUCACUGUAUGCAGCCAACACUGAAGGAAUGAAGUUAUUCCACACAGGAUUUAGAAUGCUCCACAGACGAUUUUUCUGCUCUUCCUAUUUAUUUUACAUCAGUACGCAUUCAAAGACACUUAUUUUAUCCUUUGGGCUAUAAUCCAAUACCACUUUUUACUUUGUUGCUCAA
RNAcentral lists this long non-coding RNA (588 nucleotides) under Homo sapiens (human). RNAcentral describes it as "HSALNT0309500". The record is from RNAcentral. Lineage: Eukaryota; Metazoa; Chordata; Mammalia; Primates; Hominidae.